UCUACUCACUUCUCUCUCUAGGUUAACAAUUUUUCUCCUCCCUUUCUCUAGAAUUCGCCCCUCACCCACCCAAAAUCCUAACUUCAUCAAAUUCACAAUUCAUCAUGGAAUCAUCAUGGUACAUGCUUUAAUAGGUUCCUAGUAGAGUUUUAACCAAGAAACUAGUUUAAUAAUCACUUCUCCUCCCUCCAAUUGCUCAACCGCCCCUCUUUCUCUCAUUUUCCAAGUUCAUAAUCUUUCCUCCAAUUCCAUGGAAAUCAUCAAGUAAACUUGUUUUUGGAAUACCCAUGAUGGAUAGCUACUAGGUUGUGGGUGAUUAUGGUAAUGACUUGUUUUGAUGCUUGAGGAGCUUAGGAAUCAUCAUUCAAGGUUAAUUACGGAAGCCCUCAUGGUUGAGCGUGAAGUUGGUUGAGGUUUGAAAUGCAAAAGUGAGACGAGCCUAUGUUAUUUUAAAGGAUUAAAGAUAUUCAGAGGUUACUAGACGACAUAAAGGUUCGUGAUGAAGAAGCAGUUGCCGGACUAUAUAAAAUUCACGUCAGUGGUAUUAUUUCAAAGGUAUAAGACGAGAAUUUUAUAUUUUAUUCUGCGGGAAUUUUUAUUAUUGUAAUUUUAAUGUAUCCAAUACCAAGUUUAACACACACGCUAGAUAUCCUAGGUAAUGUCUAGUAAGGGUGUUACAAGGGAGAUAUGAUUCACCGAUUUUAGAUGCAAAGGGUUUCCUACAAUGGUGUCCAUUUUUGUAAUCCUAACUAGACCGAAAACAAGACCAAGAAAGUUGAAAAUGAAGUGAAAAAAAAAUCAAGAGGAAAAGAAAGAGUGUAGAAUAGAGAGGUAAAGAAUCAAGAAUAAAUAGUAGAGAAGAUUGCCAAGUCCAGUAACAUCUACAAGCGAAACAGGUGUGAUCCUCUAUAAAUAGAUUUUUGUUGAGGAUUGAGGAUAUGUUAUGUUAAGUUAUAGGUGGAUGUUUCUCAAGGUUUUUGUUGGAUACGUAAGAUCCUAUCAUUUAGGUUCUGGUUAAAUAUUUGCUCAAAAAAGGUUCUGGUUAAAUAUAACAACUUUUAAGCUGUGAUAUAUUUUGUUGGAUACUUGGAGAAAAUGUGGAUAAGUGUCCGUCUUUCAGUUAGCAUUUUCCUUUUUUUAACAUCAAUAUUAAUGAUGUGGCAUAAUCAUCAUAGUUAUAAAGAUACAUUUUCGUAAAAAAAUAAAAUAAAAAACUCAAACUCAAUGGCGCACAUCAUUAAUUAACGAUACAUCACAUCAACAAAAAUAAUAAUUAAAAUUGAGCAGGGUGAAAAAUAUUGAUUGUUGUUAAAUAAGAGAUCUAUAGUUUAUGAUUCAACUCAACCUAAUGGCAGGAAUAUUGUUGAAUCAUCUAUUACGGCCCAAAUAUGGAAGGUAACCAUACUUUGUCUGUUAUUCUAGUCGAUCGUUGGGAACAUCCUCCAUGGUGGCUUUGUUAAAAUAAACAUGAAUGGUAGUUGUUUGAAUAACACAUCAAUUAUUGACUCUGGGUUGUCUCAUAAGAUGUUCCAAGGGUUGACGAUGUUUGUGACAUUUUGCUAGUGGAAAUUCUGGGUAUUCUAGUGUAUGAUACUGACUCCAUGGAUGAAGUGAAAUUGAUCAUGGAUAUAGACACCACAUAUUCCAUAGUUAUGUAUUGUGUUGGAUCAAAUUGGGAGAAGUUGUUUGAUUGUGAUUGAAUUUUCUCAUGUUUUUGCAAGGCAAACAACUGCAAUAACUUAUUUACUAGAUUAUGAAUUAUUUAUACUAAAUGCAUUUAACCUUUCAUAUUAAAUGCAAUUAACCAUUUAUAAAUCAAAUCAAACAUUAUACUAAUAUUGGCAAUGUAGGUCGGUCUAGACGGAAUCUAACUCUUCAAAACUUUGUUUUUUUUUUUAAUUUAUUUAUUAAAUAUUGUUAUUAAAUAUUUUAUUUUGAGUCAGAGUGCUAAUUUUUCAAAAUUGUUCUUAAAUGUUAAGUUACACACUCUUAUGCUGCGGAAUUGUUGUUGGGAAAUGGGAGAAAGUCCAAUGAUCAUCACAUUGAAUUAGAGCAACCACACAAAUGAAUUUAAUACAACAUCUUCACAAGAAUUCUUAAAGCAUUAAACAUACAGAUUGAUAAAUAACCAAAUUGUAUAGGAAUAAAAAGGUAAGUAAAACUAGCCAUUAGACUAAUUGACAAAAAAAAAAAAGGUAAGUAAA
Medicago truncatula (barrel medic) is the source of this 2204-nucleotide long non-coding RNA. RefSeq lists it as uncharacterized. Lineage: Eukaryota; Viridiplantae; Streptophyta; Magnoliopsida; Fabales; Fabaceae. The record is from RefSeq and is a predicted model, not a curated record. The transcript is spliced from 2 exons.